UACGGGGGGGGCAAGCGUUGUUCGGAUUUAUUGGGUUUAAAGGGUGCGUAGGCGGUCUUAUAAGUCAGUGCUGAAAUAUCCCGGCUUAACCGGGAGGGUGGCAUUGAUACUGUAGGACUUGAGUAAAGUUGAGGUUGGCGGAAUUGACGGUGUAGCGGUGAAAUGCUUAGAUAUCGUCAAGAACACCGAUAGUGUAGACAGCUAACUAAGCUUUAACUGACGCUGAGGCACGAAAGUGUGGGGAUCAAACAGG
Molecule: ribosomal RNA, 253 nt
Filed under: uncultured bacterium
Lineage: Bacteria
Description: partial 16S ribosomal RNA
Rfam family: Bacterial small subunit ribosomal RNA
Source: RNAcentral